RNAcentral lists this unclassified non-coding RNA (294 nucleotides) under uncultured Ascomycota. RNAcentral describes it as "sequence contains ITS1". The stretch from base 1 to 105 matches the Rfam family "5.8S ribosomal RNA", at positions 50 to 154 of the family's 154-position model. The record is from RNAcentral. Lineage: Eukaryota; Fungi; Ascomycota.
GAAAUGCGAUAAGUAAUGUGAAUUGCAGAAUUCAGUGAAUCAUCGAAUCUUUGAACGCACAUUGCGCCCCCUGGCAUUCCGGGGGGCAUGCCUGUUCGAGCGUCAUUAACACCACUCAAGCUCAGCUUGGUAUUGGGUCAUGCCAGUGAUGGCAGAUCAUAAAUUCAGUGGCGGCGCCGCAGGGUACCGAGCGUAGUAAUCAUAUCUCGCUCGGGUGCCUCGUGGUCGACGACCAACAACCCCCACCAUGCUAAGGUUGACCUCGGAUCAGGUAGGGAUACCCGCUGAACUUAA